This 778-nucleotide ribosomal RNA is filed under the name uncultured Neocallimastigales. RNAcentral describes it as "partial large subunit ribosomal RNA". It matches the Rfam family "Eukaryotic large subunit ribosomal RNA", at positions 24 to 616 of the family's 3401-position model. The record is from RNAcentral. Lineage: Eukaryota; Fungi; Neocallimastigomycota; Neocallimastigomycetes; Neocallimastigales.
GUAGUCUCGCACAGAUGCAUAUCAAUAAGCGGAGGAAAAGAAACUAACAAGGAUUCCCCUAGUAACGGCGAGUGAAGCGGGAAGAGCUCAAAUUUGAAAUCUUAAAGGGUUUCCCUUUACGAAUUGUAGUUUAAAGAAGUGUUUUCUGUUGAGGUUUUGGUAAAAGUUCUUUGGAAUAGGACAUCAUAGAGGGUGAGAAUCCCGUAUUUGACCAUUUACUUUCAGCUGUGUGAUACACUUUCAAAGAGUCGGAUUGUUUGGGAAUGCAGUCCAAAAUGGGUGGUAAAUUUCAUCUAAAGCUAAAUAUUGGCGAGAGACCGAUAGCGAACAAGUACCGUGAGGGAAAGAUGAAAAGAACUUUGAAAAGAGAGUUAAACAGUACGUGAAAUUGUCAAAAGGGAAGCGUUUGACACCAGUGUUGUUUUCUCGAAAAUCAAUUAAAAAGAGUUUAGAUUUUGUUGUGUAUUGACCUUAACAGCUUGCAUUUCAAUUUUCUUGCUUUUUUUAAUGCACUUUUCGUUUAACAAGUCAACAUCAGUUUCUUUUGUUGUAAAAAGGUCAUUGGAAGGUGGCUUUCUUUUCGGAGAAAGUGUUUAUAGCCUUUGACUCCUGCAAUCGGAGAGACUGAGGUCUGCAGCGUAGAUCCUUCGGGGUUAGAUACAUUUGUGCUAAGGUUAUAGCAUUUUAUAGACAACUUGUUGACUAUGAUUUAGUCUUGUAGCUUACUCGCUUAUGCUAUUUUACCUACGCUUAGGAUGUUGAGCGCAUGUCUCUCUCU